GGAGCGCGGGGCCGGCGCGUCCAGGGGGCUCGGUCUGCACACCCGGCUUCCUGAAUCGGCCCUUGGACCGGCGGUGUGCACGCUUCCGCCGUGUGGGUCCUGGUGCGCCGCCCCGCGGGUGGAUUAUUUCCCGCUGGGGACACUCGAGGCGCUGCCGACUCGGGGGGCUCUUGACCUUCCCGGUCACGAGCUGCACGAAGGGUUUGGACGGGGGCCCCUACCGCGAAGAGCGCUGCCACUCUUGAAAAGCCAGGAUGAGCCAUGAUCUCGAAGCAGCAAGAGUUGGAGGUCUUGGCUGUCAGGCUCCUGGGAGCUUCUGGUACCUCAGCCCUCACUCACCAAGGACUUCCCUCUCUUCCCAUGCUGCGUGGGAGAGUGGGAAGGGCAGUUCACUGUGAAAAAGCUUCAAGGACUUCCCAGUGUGAACGACAAUUCGACAAAUAAGUGUGCUUGGCCUUGCUAACAAUCAGUUGUGAGGCUGAAAACAUCCUUUUCCAAAUUAUGUCUUACAAAAUAAUCCAGCCAUGUUAGAGGAAAGGCUGAGUUAUCUACUUCCCCCUAUAGAAAAUAAUAUGACACAAUUGUUGUUAUAUGAAAGGUAAUAAAAAUAAUGCAGCGAAGCAGUGUAGGAGAAACAUAUUAUAGAGGUAUAUCAGUAAGCUAACUCUGUGAUUGUGGAAUCCAUCAGUUCUUUAAAGUUUGUGAUCUGUUUCUAUUUAUGCUCUUAUUCUAAAUAAAUAUUUACUUUCACCGUU
Long non-coding RNA from Leopardus geoffroyi (Geoffroy's cat), 755 nucleotides. RefSeq lists it as uncharacterized. The record is from RefSeq and is a predicted model, not a curated record. The transcript has 2 exons. Lineage: Eukaryota; Metazoa; Chordata; Mammalia; Carnivora; Felidae.